UUCCAUGUAUACGCAGCAUCAGACUCCAGGGAAAAACUUCCAGCAGGCCGUGCAAAGUGCGUUGACCAAGACACAUACCCGAGGGCCAUACUUUUCCAGUGUAUAUGGCAAACCUGUGAUUGCUGCUGCCCAAAAUCCACAACAGCACCCAGAGAACAUUUAUUCCACUAGCCAGGGCAAGCCUGGCAGUCCAGAACCUGACACAGAGCCUAUUUCCUCAGUUCAGGAGAACCAUGAAAAUGAAAGAAUUCCUUGACCACUCAGCCCAACCAAAUUAUUGCCUUUCUUAUCUAAUCCUUACCGAAACCAGAGUGAUGCUGACUUAGAAGCCCUACGAAAGAAAUUGUCUAAUGCACCAAGGCCACUGAAGAAAUGUAGUUCUAUUACAGAGCCAGAAGGUCCUAAUGGGCCCAAUAUUCAGAAACUUUUGUACCAGAGGACCACUAUUGCUGCCAUGGAGACCAUCUCUGUCCCAUCAUACCCAUCUAAGUUGGCUUCAGUGACUGCCAGCUCAGAAAGCCCAGUGGAAAUCGCGAAUCCAUAUUUACAUGUGGAGCCCCAGAAGGAAGUGGUCUCCCUGAUUCCUGAACCUUUGUCCCCAGAGGCUAUGGGGAGUGCCGGUCCAGAGAACAGUGACAUGCCAGUUCCUUCUUCAGGCCUUGAUCAUGUGCCUGAAGGAGUCCCAGACAGUAGCCCUGAUCUCCAACAGAACGUGGAAGAACCAAAUCCAGAGGCUCCCCGUCUGCUUGACGUGUACCUGGAAGAAUACCCUUCUGGGGAGCCCAAAGGGCCUGGAGAGGACUCUGUGAGCAUGCGCCCACCUGAGAUCACUGGGCAGAUCUCUCUGCCUCCUGGCAAAAGGACAAACUUGCGUAAAACCGGCUCAGAGCGUAUUGCUCACGGAAUGAGAGUGAAAUUCAACCCCCUUGCUUUACUUUUGGAUUCAUCUUUGGAGGGAGAAUUUGACCUUGUACAGAAUUAUUUAUGAGGUCGAUGACCCAAGCCUGCCUAAUGACGAAGGCAUCACAGCACUUCAUAAUGCUGUGUGUGCAGGGCACACAGAAAUCGUUAAGUUCCUGGUACAGUUUAGUGUAAAUGUAAAUGCUGCUGAUAGUGAUGGAUGGACUCCAUUGCACUGUGCUGCCUCAUGUAACAAUGUCCAAGUGUGUAAGUUUUUGGUGGAGUCAGGAGCCGCUGUUUUCGCCAUGACCUACAGUGACAUGCAGACUGCUGCAGAUAAGUGUGAGGAAAUGGAGGAGGGCUACACCCAGUGCUCUCAGUUUCUUUAUGGAGUGCAGCAGAAAAUGGGCAUUAUGAAUAAAGGACUCAUCUAUGUGCUUUGGGAUUACGAACCUCAGAAUGAUGAUGAACUGCCCAUGAAAGAAGGAGACUGCAUGACAGUCAUCCACAGGGAGGAUGAAGAAGAGACCAAGUGGUGGUGAGCGUGCCUUAAUGACAAGGAAGGAUAUGUUCCACACAACUUGCUGGGACUGUACUCAAGAAUUAAACCAAGACAAAGGAGUUUGGCCUGAAACUUUAACAGCAUUUUAGUUAAUGAAGAAUUGAUAUCUGUUAUCACUAAGAAGAAGAAUACACUUGUUUUUAGCAAAAAUUUCAAAAGACUUGUUUUAAUGACUGUGUAGCUUCAAAGCAGCGAAGAAUGUCUCUAGAAGAAAAUGAAGGAUUAAAGAUUUCACUACUACAGGACAGUCAGCAUGAUGAAAUGGAAUUUACAAGGGAGCAGACCAUACUGUGUUGGAGCAAAGGUGUUCCAUGUAGCACUCAGAAAAAUAUACAGUGACAAUCCUGUUUUCUAUAAGAAAUUGGACGUUUAUUGGACUGUUGGGAAAUCGGCUUUAUGUCCUGCUUAGUGGGCAUUUUUAGCACUUGCUUGCAUGCCAGGAAGGACUAGUGCCAUUAUGGCACCAUCUCUGAUGUUCCCCUAACACCAGGAGUCCCUCGGGGGCCUGUAUGAAGGCUGGAUGGUGCCAUAUACUUGUAUGUUGUCAGCAAAGAACUGUCAGUUGGUUGUCCAUGAGCAAUAACUUUAUUGUAUGAGUUCUUGUAGCAUCUUAAGGAUUUUACAUACAUUUGAAAUAUUAAAACUAAGCUAUACUUUCAGUAGUUAGACUUAAAAUCUUAUUU
RNA transcript from Nycticebus coucang (slow loris), 2145 nucleotides. It is a transcript of the gene named apoptosis-stimulating of p53 protein 2-like, with no coding region annotated. The transcript has a single exon. The record is from RefSeq and is a predicted model, not a curated record. Lineage: Eukaryota; Metazoa; Chordata; Mammalia; Primates; Lorisidae.